Molecule: ribosomal RNA, 451 nt
Filed under: uncultured bacterium
Lineage: Bacteria
Description: partial 16S ribosomal RNA
Rfam family: Bacterial small subunit ribosomal RNA
Source: RNAcentral
AGCGAACGCUGGCGGCAUGCCUAACACAUGCAAGUCGCACGGGGGGGCUUCGGCCUCCCAGUGGCGGACGGGUGAGGGACGCGUAGGGACCUGUCGAGGGGUGGGGGAUAACCGCGGGAAACUGCGGCUAAUACCGCAUGACGCCGCGGCGUGACAGCCGGGGCCAAAGGCGAAAGCCGCCCGCCGAGGGGCCUGCGUCCGAUUAGCUGGUUGGCGGGGUGGCGGCCCACCAAGGCGUCGAUCGGUAGCUGGUCUGAGAGGGUGAUCAGCCACACCGGGACUGAGACACGGCCCGGACUCCUACGGGAGGCAGCAGUGGGGAAUAUUGGACAAUGGGCGCAAGCCUGAUCCAGCAAUGCCGCGUGGGUGAAGAAGGUCUUCGGAUUGUAAAGCCCUUUCGGCGGGGACGAUGGUGACGGUACCCGCAGAAGAAGCCCCGGCUAACUUCGUG